GCCCUUGACGUGCUGGUUCGCCGUGCCCGUACACGGCCUCCGAAGCCGUGUGCGCAGGUUCGAAUCCUGCCGGGGGCA
Molecule: transfer RNA, 78 nt
Filed under: Streptomyces sp. SID89
Lineage: Bacteria; Bacillati; Actinomycetota; Actinomycetes; Kitasatosporales; Streptomycetaceae
Also listed under: 2 other names
Description: tRNA-Arg
Rfam family: tRNA (bases 23-78)
About the family: Transfer RNA (tRNA) molecules are approximately 80 nucleotides in length. Their secondary structure includes four short double-helical elements and three loops (D, anti-codon, and T loops). Further hydrogen bonds mediate the characteristic L-shaped molecular structure. tRNAs have two regions of fundamental functional importance: the anti-codon, which is responsible for specific mRNA codon recognition, and the 3' end, to which the tRNAs corresponding amino acid is attached (by aminoacyl-tRNA synthetases). tRNAs cope with the degeneracy of the genetic code in two manners: having more than one tRNA (with a specific anti-codon) for a particular amino acid; and 'wobble' base-pairing, i.e. permitting non-standard base-pairing at the 3rd anti-codon position.
Source: RNAcentral